AACUCACAUCCAUAAGCGCCAGGGAACUACGAGCCACGCUUAAAACCCAAAGGAUUUGACGGUGUCCCACCCCCCUAGAGGAGCCUGUUCUAUAAUCGAUGAUCCCCGCUAUACCCCACCACCCCUUGCUCGUCAGUCUGUAUACCUCCGUCGAAAGCUUACCAUGUGAACGUCUAUAGUAAGUUCAAUGACCCAUGCCAAUGCGUCAACACGUCAGGUCAAGGUGCAGCUUAAGAGGUGGAAAGUGAUGGGCUACAAUUUCUAAUCUAGAACAAACGAAAGGCCAUGUGAAACCGUGGCCACGAAGGCGGAUUUAGUAGUAAAAAGAAAAUAGAGUGUUCUUUUUAACUCGGCUCUGGGACGCGUACACACCGCCCGUCAC
Molecule: ribosomal RNA, 382 nt
Filed under: Odorrana graminea (large odorous frog)
Lineage: Eukaryota; Metazoa; Chordata; Amphibia; Anura; Ranidae
Description: partial 12S ribosomal RNA
Rfam family: Bacterial small subunit ribosomal RNA
Source: RNAcentral